AAGUCGAGCGGUAGCACAGAGAGCUUGCUCUCGGGUGACGAGCGGCGGACGGGUGAGUAAUGUCUGGGAAACUGCCUGAUGGAGGGGGAUAACUACUGGAAACGGUAGCUAAUACCGCAUAACGUCGCAAGACCAAAGUGGGGGACCUUCGGGCCUCAUGCCAUCAGAUGUGCCCAGAUGGGAUUAGCUAGUAGGUGGGGUAAUGGCUCACCUAGGCGACGAUCCCUAGCUGGUCUGAGAGGAUGACCAGCCACACUGGAACUGAGACACGGUCCAGACUCCUACGGGAGGCAGCAGUGGGGAAUAUUGCACAAUGGGCGCAAGCCUGAUGCAGCCAUGCCGCGUGUAUGAAGAAGGCCUUCGGGUUGUAAAGUACUUUCAGCGAGGAGGAAGGCGUUAAGGUUAAUAACCUUAGCGAUUGACGUUACUCGCAGAAGAAGCACCGGCUAACUCCGUGCCAGCAGCCGCGGUAAUACGGAGGGUGCAAGCGUUAAUCGGAAUUACUGGGCGUAAAGCGCACGCAGGCGGUCUGUCAAGUCGGAUGUGAAAUCCCCGGGCUCAACCUGGGAACUGCAUUCGAAACUGGCAGGCUAGAGUCUUGUAGAGGGGGGUAGAAUUCCAGGUGUAGCGGUGAAAUGCGUAGAGAUCUGGAGGAAUACCGGUGGCGAAGGCGGCCCCCUGGACAAAGACUG
RNAcentral lists this ribosomal RNA (692 nucleotides) under Klebsiella sp. Its description in RNAcentral is "bacterial SSU rRNA". It matches the Rfam family "Bacterial small subunit ribosomal RNA", at positions 59 to 742 of the family's 1533-position model. The record is from RNAcentral. Lineage: Bacteria; Pseudomonadati; Pseudomonadota; Gammaproteobacteria; Enterobacterales; Enterobacteriaceae.